AUUGCAGACACUGGAAGACCUGAAUACUACAUCAGCACUCUGGAGACGCUGGAAGACGUGGAUGUUGAGCCCACUGAUGGAAGACUGAGUAGUUGUUGGAAGACUUGAAGAUGUUGGAAGACGUGAAGAUGCUGGAAGAUGCAGAUAUGCUGGAAGACAUGAUGACGCUGGAAGACGUAGAGAUGCUGGAAGACGAGCAGAUGCUGGAAGCCCUGGAGAUGCUGGAAGACCUGGAGGUGUAGGAAGACAUAGAUUUUUGGAAGACGUGGCUUAGUUGGAAGACAUGGCUGUGUUGGAAGACAUGGAUUUUCUGGAAGACACAGACUUGCUGGAAGACGUGGAUUUUCUGGAAGACAAAGCUUUGUUGGAAGACGAACCUUUGCUGGAAGACAUAGGUAGGCUGGAAGACAUGGCUUUGCUGGAAGACGUGGAUUUGCUGGAAGCUGUGGAUUUGCUGGAAGACGUAGAUUUUCUGGAAGAUGCAGAUAGGCUGGAAGACCUGGAGAUCAUUGGAAGACGUAGAUUUUCUGGAAGAUGCAGAUAGGCUGGAAGACCUGGAGAUCAUUGGAAGACGUAGAUUUUCUGGAAGACUUGGCUUUUUUGGAAGACAUGGAUUUUCAGGAAGACCCGAAUUGUCCGGAAGAUCUGGAUUAUUUGGAAGACGGUGGAUUUUCUGGAAGACUAGGAAGUUACUGGAAGACAUGGAUCUUUAGGAAGACCUAUUGGCUGGAAGACCUGGAAGUUAUUGGAAGACGUGAAUUUUCUGGAAGACGUUGGUUUAUUGGAAGACAUGUAUUGACUGGAAGACUUUAUUUGGUUGGAAGACACAGA
This is an RNA transcript of Nycticebus coucang (slow loris), 831 nucleotides long. It is a transcript of the gene named cerebellar degeneration-related antigen 1-like, with no coding region annotated. NCBI's taxonomy places the organism in Eukaryota, Metazoa, Chordata, Mammalia, Primates, Lorisidae. The record is from RefSeq and is a predicted model, not a curated record. The transcript has a single exon.